CCGCAGUAUUCUAACUGUGCAAAGGUAGCAUAAUCAUUAGUCUUUUAAUUGGAGGCUGGUAUGAAUGGUUGGACGAAGUAUAAGCUGUUUCAUUUAAAUUUAUAAUAGAAUUUUAUUUUUUAGUCAAAAAGCUAAAAUAAUAUUAAAAGACGAGAAGACCCUAUAAAUCUUUAUAUUUUUUGUUGUUUAAGUUUUGUAGAUAUAUUUUAUUUUUAUAAUAAAAAAUAUUUUGUUGGGGUGAUGUUAAAAUUUAAUGAACUUUUAAUAAUUAUAAAAAUCAUUAAUUUAUGAUUUAUUGAUCCAUUAAUAAUGAUUAUAAGAUUAAGUUACUUUAGGGAUAACAGCG
RNAcentral lists this ribosomal RNA (346 nucleotides) under Pseudopelmatops angustifasciatus. RNAcentral describes it as "partial 16S ribosomal RNA". Lineage: Eukaryota; Metazoa; Arthropoda; Insecta; Diptera; Tephritidae. The record is from RNAcentral.